Molecule: ribosomal RNA, 1011 nt
Filed under: Pseudomonadaceae bacterium PM-26
Lineage: Bacteria; Pseudomonadati; Pseudomonadota; Gammaproteobacteria; Pseudomonadales; Pseudomonadaceae
Description: bacterial SSU rRNA
Rfam family: Bacterial small subunit ribosomal RNA
Source: RNAcentral
CAUGCAAGUCGAGCGGAUGAGAAGAGCUUGCUCUUCGAUUCAGCGGCGGACGGGUGAGUAAUGCCUAGGAAUCUGCCUGGUAGUGGGGGAUAACGUCCGGAAACGGGCGCUAAUACCGCAUACGUCCUACGGGAGAAAGCAGGGGACCUUCGGGCCCUGCGCUAUCAGAUGAGCCUAGGUCGGAUUAGCUAGUUGGCGGGGUAAAGGCCCACCAAGGCGACGAUCCGUAACUGGUCUGAGAGGAUGAUCAGUCACACUGGAACUGAGACACGGUCCAGACUCCUACGGGAGGCAGCAGUGGGGAAUAUUGGACAAUGGGCGAAAGCCUGAUCCAGCCAUGCCGCGUGUGUGAAGAAGGUCUUCGGAUUGUAAAGCACUUUAAGUUGGGAGGAAGGGUUGUAACCUAAUACGUUGCAAUUUUGACGUUACCGACAGAAUAAGCACCGGCUAACUUCGUGCCAGCAGCCGCGGUAAUACGAAGGGUGCAAGCGUUAAUCGGAAUUACUGGGCGUAAAGCGCGCGUAGGUGGUUAGGUAAGUUGAAUGUGAAAGCCCUGGGCUCAACCUGGGAACUGCAUCCAAAACUGCUUGGCUAGAGUACGGUAGAGGGUAGUGGAAUUUCCUGUGUAGCGGUGAAAUGCGUAGAUAUAGGAAGGAACACCAGUGGCGAAGGCGACUACCUGGACUGAUACUGACACUGAGGUGCCAAAGCGUGGGGAGCAAACAGGAUUAGAUACCCUGGUAGUCCACGCCGUAAACGAUGUCAACUAGUUGUUGGGUUCCUUGAGGACUUAGUAACGCACCUAACGCAUUAAGUUGACCGCCUGGGGAGUACGGCCGCAAGGUUAAAACUCAAAUGAAUUGACGGGGGCCCGCACAAGCGGUGGAGCAUGUGGUUUAAUUCGAAGCAACGCGAAGAACCUUACCUGGCCUUGACAUGCUGAGAACUUUCCAGAGAUGGAUUGGUGCCUUCGGGAACUCAGACACAGGUGCUGCAUGGCUGUCGUCAGCU